Molecule: ribosomal RNA, 406 nt
Filed under: uncultured bacterium
Lineage: Bacteria
Description: partial 16S ribosomal RNA
Rfam family: Bacterial small subunit ribosomal RNA
Source: RNAcentral
AUUGAACGCUGGCGGCAGGCCUAACACAUGCAAGUCGAGCGAGUGGCGGACGGGUGAGUCAUGUAUGGGGCUCUGCCCGAUAGAGGGGGAUAACUACUGGAAACGGUGGCUAAUACCGCAUACUAUCGCAUGAACCCAUAUUGGAUUAGCUAGUAGGUGGGGUAAAGGUUUACCAAGGCGACGAUCGAUAGCUGGUCUGCGAGGAUGAUCAGCCAAACGGGAACUGAGACACGGCCCAGACUCCUACGGGAGGCAGCAGUGGGUAAUAUUGCGCAAUGGGCGAAAGCCUGAUGGAGCCAGGCCGCGUGUAUGAAGAAGGCCUUAGGGUUGUAAAGUACUUUCAGCGGGGAGGCGUUACCCGAAGAAGAAGCAACGGCUAACUCCGUGCCAGCAGCCGCGGUAAUAC